UAUUCUUUUCCAAAUGAAAGAUUGGCAGCUAGAGAAUAUUGCCUGAACUUGAAAGAGUACACAGAUUACAUGUACACACAUUUCAUGGCCUAGGUAAAAUCUUGAUUAUAUUGCUAUCUUAUCCACUUUAUUCACUAUGCCUGUAUCAGUGGCAUGCAUGCUGUGAGAAAAAAAAAAAUCUCCACAGACUAGAACUGUGACCUGUUACAAGGAAUAGAUUGUUUUCUGGGUUUUUGAGAUGAAAUAUUUUGAGGAAAUUCUAUAACAUUAUUGACUGACCUUCUGUAGGACUACUGAAAAAUAUACUGCAAGAUCAAAACAACUUAAUUUUUAUAUUGAUUGAAGCUUUUAAUUCUUCAGAAUAAUUUGUCCUUUUAUAGUGAGUUGUGCUUUUCUUCUUGUCAGGGGUUUCAUAGGUUUACUAGUAAUGGUUGAAAAAAGUGUACAAAAAACCCUCAUAAAGUUGCAGCAAUUAUUUACAACAUAAAAUCUUCAGUGACUAUUUACAAAGCCUUCAGUUGUUCAAAUGUACACAUAGUGUAUUAUUUAUUAUUUCUUGUUGUUUCUAUUGUUGCUGCUCUGAGUGAUCAACCAUCCUCCUUACUACCACCUGACGGGCACAGCUGGAGGGUCCCUGAGAGCCUGGGGGCGUGUGGAGGGAGGCUGGAGGCCUGGGACUCCCGGUGGAGCAGGGGCAGCUCUGCGCACAGGCCUGUGGCUGCAGUCCGGGCUCGGUGAAAGCCAAGGUGCAGCGUGCAGGGAGGGCAAGUCCAUGGCUGCCCGGCUCAGAACCAUGCACCAACACAAGGAGCCCUCACUCCUGGCUAUGGGGCUGGGACUUGGACCUGGAGGGGUCCUAUGGUCCUCUGCAGACCUGACCCUGUCAUCCUCAGAGAUACCUGUAACAUGCUAG
Molecule: long non-coding RNA, 913 nt
Filed under: Cyanistes caeruleus (blue tit)
Lineage: Eukaryota; Metazoa; Chordata; Aves; Passeriformes; Paridae
Description: lncRNA (ENSCCEG00000013195.1)
Source: RNAcentral